UGAUCCGGUGCUUGCACCGGGGAUUAGUGGCGAACGGGUGAGUAACACGUGAGUAACCUGCCCUUGACUCUGGGAUAAGCCUGGGAAACCGGGUCUAAUACCGGAUACGACCUUUCACCGCAUGGUGGUUGGUGGAAAGAUUUUUUGGUUUUGGAUGGACUCGCGGCCUAUCAGCUUGUUGGUGAGGUAAUGGCUCACCAAGGCGACGACGGGUAGCCGGCCUGAGAGGGUGACCGGCCACACUGGGACUGAGACACGGCCCAGACUCCUACGGGAGGCAGCAGUGGGGAAUAUUGCACAAUGGGCGAAAGCCUGAUGCAGCGACGCCGCGUGAGGGAUGACGGCCUUCGGGUUGUAAACCUCUUUCAGCAGGGAAGAAGCGAAAGUGACGGUACCUGCAGAAGAAGCGCCGGCUAACUACGUGCCAGCAGCCGCGGUAAUACGUAGGGCGCAAGCGUUGUCCGGAAUUAUUGGGCGUAAAGAGCUCGUAGGCGGUUUGUCGCGUCUGCUGUGAAAGCCCGGGGCUCAACCCCGGGUCUGCAGUGGGUACGGGCAGACUAGAGUGCAGUAGGGGAGACUGGAAUUCCUGGUGUAGCGGUGAAAUGCGCAGAUAUCAGGAGGAACACCGAUGGCGAAGGCAGGUCUCUGGGCUGUAACUGACGCUGAGGAGCGAAAGCAUGGGGAGCGAACAGGAUUAGAUACCCUGGUAGUCCAUGCCGUAAACGUUGGGCACUAGGUGUGGGGGACAUUCCACGUUUUCCGCGCCGUAGCUAACGCAUUAAGUGCCCCGC
This 791-nucleotide ribosomal RNA is filed under the name bacterium. RNAcentral describes it as "bacterial SSU rRNA". It matches the Rfam family "Bacterial small subunit ribosomal RNA", at positions 70 to 872 of the family's 1533-position model. The record is from RNAcentral.